AACGAACGCUGGCGGCAGGCUUAACCCAUGCAAGUCGAACGAGAUCUUCGGAUCUAGUGGCAGACGGGUGAGGAACACGUGGGAACAUCCCUUUCAGUUCGGAAUAACGUUGGGAAACUAACGCUAAUACCGGAUACGUCCUUCGGGAGAAAGAUUUAUCGCUGAAAGAUUGGCCCGCGUCUGAUUAGCUAGUUGGUGAGGUAAUGGCUCACCAAGGCCACGAUCAGUAGCUGAUCUGAGAGGAUGAUCAGCCACAUUGGGACUGAGACACGGCCCAAACGCCUACGGGAGGCAGCAGUGGGGAAUAUUGGAAAAUGGGCGCAGGCCUGAUCCAGCCAUGCCGCGUGAGUGAUGACGGCCUUCGGGUUGUAAAGCUCUUUUGUCCGGGAAGAUAAUGACUGUACCGGAAGAAUAAGCCCCGGCAAACUUCGUGCCAGCCGCCGCGGUAA
Molecule: ribosomal RNA, 449 nt
Filed under: uncultured bacterium
Lineage: Bacteria
Description: partial 16S ribosomal RNA
Rfam family: Bacterial small subunit ribosomal RNA
Source: RNAcentral